AUUGAACGCUGGCGGCAUGCCUUACACAUGCAAGUCGAACGGUAACAGGUCUUCGGAUGCUGACGAGUGGCGAACGGGUGAGUAAUACAUCGGAACGUGCCUAGUAGUGGGGGAUAACUACUCGAAAGAGUGGCUAAUACCGCAUGAGAUCUACGGAUGAAAGCAGGGGAUCGCAAGACCUUGUGCUACUAGAGCGGCCGAUGGCAGAUUAGGUAGUUGGUGGGAUAAAAGCUUACCAAGCAGACGAUCUGUAGCUGGUCUGAGAGGACGAUCAGCCAACGUGGGACUGAGACACGGGCGAGACUCCUACGGGAGGCAGCAGUGGGGAAUUUUGGACAAUGGGCGCAAGCCUUAUCCAGCAAUGCCGCGUGCAGGAUGAAGGCCUUCGGGUUGUAAACUGCUUUUGUACGGAACGAAAAGCCCCGGGUUAAUACCCUGGGGUCAUGACGGUACCGUAAGAAUAAGCACCGGCUAACUACGUGCCAGCCGCCGCCGUAA
Molecule: ribosomal RNA, 498 nt
Filed under: uncultured bacterium
Lineage: Bacteria
Description: partial 16S ribosomal RNA
Rfam family: Bacterial small subunit ribosomal RNA
Source: RNAcentral